AUGAUUUCCCGCGGCGAGCGGCUGGCCCUUGUCCGCCACGUCUUCUGCGCGAUGCCCACCCACAUCCUGAUUGCCAUGUCGCUGCACACUUCCAUUCUCCGACAGGUGAACCGCCUCAUUCGCGCAUUCCUCUGGCAAGGCCGGAAAACCACCAACGGAGGGCACUGCCUCGUCAGUUGGGCCAGGAUCUGCCGGCCGCUCGCCUUUGGCGGCCUCGGCAUUCCGGAUCUCCAGCGCUGCGUUGAUACGUCUCCAACGUAUCUAUAA
RNAcentral lists this ribosomal RNA (267 nucleotides) under Triticum aestivum (bread wheat). RNAcentral describes it as "partial small subunit ribosomal RNA". Lineage: Eukaryota; Viridiplantae; Streptophyta; Magnoliopsida; Poales; Poaceae. The record is from RNAcentral.